This 463-nucleotide ribosomal RNA is filed under the name uncultured bacterium. RNAcentral's name for it is "partial 16S ribosomal RNA". It matches the Rfam family "Bacterial small subunit ribosomal RNA", at positions 29 to 507 of the family's 1533-position model. The record is from RNAcentral.
AGUGAACGCUGGCGGCGUGCUUAAUACAUGCAAGUCGAACGAUGAAGUCCUACCUUGCUCGUCUGGAUUAGUGGCGCACGGGUGAGUAAUAUAUAGUUAAUCUGCCUUGCACUGAGGUACAACAGUUGGAAACGAUUGCUAAUACCUCAUACUCAAACUUUACAUAAGUUAAGUUGGGAAAGUCUUUUCGGUUAAAGAUGAGACUAUAUCGUAUCAGCUAGUUGGUAAGUUAAUGGCUUACCAAGGCUAUGACGCGUAACUGGUCGGAGAGGAUGAUCAGUCACAUUGGAACUGAGACACGGUCCAAACUCCUAAGGGAGGCAGGAGUAAGGAAUAUUGUGCAAUGGGGGAAACCCUGACGGAGCAAAGGCGCGUGGAGGAUGACACUUUUCGGAGAGUAAACUCCUUUUGUUAGGGAAGAAAAAUGACGGUACCUAACGAAUAAGCACCGGCUAACUCCGUG